This 468-nucleotide ribosomal RNA is filed under the name uncultured bacterium. RNAcentral's name for it is "partial 16S ribosomal RNA". It matches the Rfam family "Bacterial small subunit ribosomal RNA", at positions 28 to 507 of the family's 1533-position model. The record is from RNAcentral.
GACGAACGCUGGCGGCGUGCUUAACACAUGCAAGUCGAACGGAAAGGCCCUGCUUUUGUGGGGUGCUCGAGUGGCGAACGGGUGAGUAACACGUGAGUAACCUGCCCUUGACUUUGGGAUAACUUCAGGAAACUGGGGCUAAUACCGGAUAGGAGCUCCUGCUGCAUGGUGGGGGUUGGAAAGUUUCGGCGGUUGGGGAUGGACUCGCGGCUUAUCAGCUUGUCGGUGGGGUAGUGGCUUACCAAGGCUUUGACGGGUAGCCGGCCUGAGAGGGUGACCGGCCACAUUGGGGCUGGGAUACGGGCCAGACUCCUACGGGAGGCAGCAGUGGGGAAUAUUGCACAAUGGGCGGAAGCCUGAUGCAGCAACGCCGCGGGCGGGAUGACGGCCUUCGGGUUGUAAACCGCUUUCGCCUGGGACGAAGCGGGAAUGACGGUAAUGGGUAAAGGAGCACCGGCUAACUACGUG